AGUACGGCGGCGUGCUAAUACAUGCAGUCGAGCGAACUGAUUAGAAGCUUGCUUCUAUGACGUUAGCGGCGGACGGGUGAGUAACACGUGGGCAACCUGCCUGUAAGACUGGGAUAACUUCGGGAAACCGAAGCUAAUACCGGAUAGGAUCUUCUCCUUCAUGGGAGAUGAUUGAAAGAUGGUUUCGGCUAUCACUUACAGAUGGGCCCGCGGUGCAUUAGCUAGUUGGUGAGGUAACGGCUCACCAAGGCAACGAUGCAUAGCCGACCUGAGAGGGUGAUCGGCCACACUGGGACUGAGACACGGCCCAGACUCCUACGGGAGGCAGCAGUAGGGAAUCUUCCGCAAUGGACGAAAGUCUGACGGAGCAACGCCGCGUGAGUGAUGAAGGCUUUCGGGUCGUAAAACUCUGUUGUUAGGGAAGAACAAGUACAAGAGUAACUGCUUGUACCUUGACGGUACCUAACCAGAAAGCCAACGGGUUAACUACGUGCCAGGCAGCCGCGGUAAUACGUAGAGUGGCAAAGCGUUAUCCGGAAUUAUUUGNGGCGUAAAAGCGCGCGCAGGCGGGUUCUUAAAGUCCUGAAUNGGUGAAAAGGCCCACGGGUCCAACCCAGGUUGCGACGGGGGGUUCCCAUCUUGGGAACAACCUUGGCGGGGAAAACUUGGAGUUUGGCCAGCCAACGAACACAAAAAGCGNGAAAUUUCCCCACGUGUUACCCGGGGUNGACACCAUGGGCCGUAGAAAGACAUCGUUUNGGGAGGGACACACACCCCAGUCGGGCAAACGGGCGGCUCUAUCAGGGNCACUGGAACUUGAGGCGCUGAAGAGCCCAAAAACGCCGUUGGGAACGACAACCCAGGGUGUAUAGAUCCCCUGGACG
This 884-nucleotide ribosomal RNA is filed under the name Priestia megaterium. RNAcentral describes it as "bacterial SSU rRNA". The stretch from base 6 to 524 matches the Rfam family "Bacterial small subunit ribosomal RNA", at positions 38 to 536 of the family's 1533-position model. Lineage: Bacteria; Bacillati; Bacillota; Bacilli; Caryophanales; Bacillaceae. The record is from RNAcentral.